UAGCUUGAUUGGUAAAGAAUCUGCCUGCAAUGCAGGAGACCUGGGUUCAAUUCCUGG
RNAcentral lists this transfer RNA (57 nucleotides) under Bos taurus (domestic cattle). It matches the Rfam family "tRNA", at positions 8 to 63 of the family's 71-position model. From Rfam's summary of the family: Transfer RNA (tRNA) molecules are approximately 80 nucleotides in length. Their secondary structure includes four short double-helical elements and three loops (D, anti-codon, and T loops). Further hydrogen bonds mediate the characteristic L-shaped molecular structure. tRNAs have two regions of fundamental functional importance: the anti-codon, which is responsible for specific mRNA codon recognition, and the 3' end, to which the tRNAs corresponding amino acid is attached (by aminoacyl-tRNA synthetases). tRNAs cope with the degeneracy of the genetic code in two manners: having more than one tRNA (with a specific anti-codon) for a particular amino acid; and 'wobble' base-pairing, i.e. permitting non-standard base-pairing at the 3rd anti-codon position. The record is from Rfam by way of RNAcentral. Lineage: Eukaryota; Metazoa; Chordata; Mammalia; Artiodactyla; Bovidae. RNAcentral also lists the same sequence under 5 other names.